Carlito syrichta (Philippine tarsier) is the source of this 815-nucleotide RNA transcript. It is a transcript of the gene named NFU1 iron-sulfur cluster scaffold homolog, mitochondrial pseudogene, with no coding region annotated. The record is from RefSeq and is a predicted model, not a curated record. Lineage: Eukaryota; Metazoa; Chordata; Mammalia; Primates; Tarsiidae. The transcript has a single exon.
CAUAUGUUGAAGAAUCCAUACAGCAUUAAGAAACAGCCUCUGCAUCAGUUUGUACGAAGACCACUUUCCCUACUACCUGCAGUCUUAUGUAGCACAGUGAGACACAUGUUUAUUCAAACACAAGAUACCCCAAAUCCCAACAGUUUAAAGUUUAUACCAGGAAAGCCAGUUCUUGAGGCAAGGACCAUGGAUUUUCCCACCCCAGCCGCAGCAUUUCGCUCCCCUCUGGCAAGGCGAUUAUUUAGAAUCGGAGGAGUAAAAAGUGUCUUCUUUGGAUCAGAUUUUAUUACUGUCACAAAGGAAAAUGAAGAAUUAGACUGGAAUUUAUUGAAACCAGAUAUGUAUGCAACAAUCAUGGACUUUUUGCAUCUGGCUUACUCCUUGUUACUGAGGAAACAUCUUUGGGAGAAGCAGGAUCUUAAGAAGAUGAUGAAGUUGUGGCAAUGAUUAAGGAAUUGUUAGAUACUAGAAUAUGGCCAACUGUGCAGGAAGAUGGAGGAGACGUAAUCUAUAAAGGCUUUGAAGAUGGCAUCGUACAGCUGAAACUUCAAGGUUCUUGUACCAGUUGCCCCAGUUCAAUCAUUACUUUGAAAACUGGAAUUCAGAACAUGCUACAGUUUUAUAUUCCCGAAGUAGAAGGUGUAGAAGAGGUUAUGGAUGAUGAAUCAGAUGAAAAAGCAGCAAACUCAACUUAAAAUAAUUUGGAUUUCUUUGGCCACAGGUCAGACUUGUUGAGAAUAUAUACCAAGCUUUUAUUAUUAAUAUGCUGAGGAAACUUGAGUAAUACAAUUUGUCCUUUCUUCAGAGAAUGAUAU